GAGGUUGUAGUUUAGUGGUAAAGAACAGAAUGUCCCAGGUUCAAUCCCUGGUGUCCCCU
RNAcentral lists this transfer RNA (59 nucleotides) under Podarcis lilfordi (Lilford's wall lizard). RNAcentral's name for it is "tRNA.Leu". Lineage: Eukaryota; Metazoa; Chordata; Lepidosauria; Squamata; Lacertidae. The record is from RNAcentral.